RNAcentral lists this ribosomal RNA (709 nucleotides) under uncultured bacterium. RNAcentral describes it as "bacterial SSU rRNA". It matches the Rfam family "Bacterial small subunit ribosomal RNA", at positions 108 to 835 of the family's 1533-position model. The record is from RNAcentral.
GAGUAACGCGUGAGUAACCUGCCUCAUACAGGGGAAUAACAGUUAGAAAUGACUGCUAAUGCCGCAUAAGCGCACAGGGCCACAUGGCCCGGUGUGAAAAACUCCGGUGGUAUGAGAUGGACUCGCGUCUGAUUAGCUAGUUGGCAGGGUAACGGCCUACCAAGGCGACGAUCAGUAGCCGGCCUGAGAGGGUGAACGGCCACAUUGGGACUGAGACACGGCCCAAACUCCUACGGGAGGCAGCAGUGGGGAAUAUUGCACAAUGGGGGAAACCCUGAUGCAGCGACGCCGCGUGAGUGAAGAAGUAUUUCGGUAUGUAAAGCUCUAUCAGCAGGGAAGAAAAUGACGGUACCUGACUAAGAAGCCCCGGCUAACUACGUGCCAGCAGCCGCGGUAAUACGUAGGGGGCAAGCGUUAUCCGGAUUUACUGGGUGUAAAGGGAGCGUAGACGGCUUUGCAAGUCUGACGUGAAACUCCGGGGCUCAACUCCGGAACUGCGUUGGAAACUGUAAGGCUUGAGUGCCGGAGAGGUAAGCGGAAUUCCUAGUGUAGCGGUGAAAUGCGUAGAUAUUAGGAGGAACACCAGUGGCGAAGGCGGCUUACUGGACGGCAACUGACGUUGAGGCUCGAAAGCGUGUGGAGCAAACAGGAUUAGAUACCCUGGUAGUCCACGCGGUAAACGAUGAAUACUAGGUGUUGGGGGACAAAG